CCAGAAGCCCAAUGCUUCUGCAGGCCCCCCACCUCCAGAAAGAGGGGGGUUGAGCUUCAGGGGCACAGAAGGACAUCUCCAAGGCAAUCAGGCACCACACGAAUGUCUGGACAGCCUCACAGAAAUCCCCAGAUCUGAGUCUAAGGACCACCAGAGCAUCUCGACUGAUCCAGCUGAAACCAGAAAGGAAAGGCCCAUCUUGCAUGGCUCUGGGGAUGAGGGGCUUACUACCCCACCUCUUGGAGCAGUCCAGGCCCCUUCGGUGCUUUCCUGGUGUCCAGCCUCAGUUUGCUUGCCUGCACCUUCUCCACACUGCUCCUAGUUCUGCCUCUGGGACCACACAGGACAAGAUUCAUCCCUCCUUCACAUGCCAUUUAGGUCUGCCUGCAUGCUGCUUUCAUCCCAAAGACCACAUCUGGACUCCCAUAUCUGGGGGAAGCCAGACAACUGUGGACAAAUGGCAUCAGCUCUUCGGGCUUUACCGGGAGGCACCAUGACUGCAUCACUUCCAUGGAAGGUGCCAUGCCUUAGUCACAUCACCAAGACUUAGGGGCACUGACUGCAGCUGUUCUACAAAGCUAAGGCCCUCAAAUCUGGCCUAGAGCCUGACUCAAAGCCCAGGAGCAGUUUUAGGGCCCAUCUCCUCACUCACUGGACACCUGCAGAGUCUAGAAACAGCAGCUGAGAAAAGCAACAAGCAUUUAUUAUGUGCCGGGCUCUGCAGUAAGUGCUGGGAAUAAAGAGGAAGGCAAAAACA
Monodelphis domestica (gray short-tailed opossum) is the source of this 757-nucleotide non-coding RNA. The record is from RefSeq and is a predicted model, not a curated record. Lineage: Eukaryota; Metazoa; Chordata; Mammalia; Didelphimorphia; Didelphidae.